CCCUACGGGGGGCAGCAGUAGGGAAUAUUGCACAAUGGGGGAAACCCUGAUGCAGCGACGCCGCGUGAAGGAUGAAGUAUUUCGGUAUGUAAACUUCUAUCAGCAAGGAAGAAAAUGACGGUACUUGACUAAGAAGCCCCGGCUAAAUACGUGCCAGCAGCCGCGGUAAUACGGAGGAUGCGAGCGUUAUCCGGAUUUAUUGGGUUUAAAGGGUGCGCAGGCGGUCUGUUAAGUCAGCGGUCAAAGCCCGGGGCUCAACCCCGGCCCGCCGUUGAAACUGGCAGUCUCGAGUUGGGGAGAAGUAG
RNAcentral lists this ribosomal RNA (305 nucleotides) under uncultured bacterium. RNAcentral's name for it is "bacterial SSU rRNA". It matches the Rfam family "Bacterial small subunit ribosomal RNA", at positions 337 to 660 of the family's 1533-position model. The record is from RNAcentral.